RNAcentral lists this ribosomal RNA (406 nucleotides) under uncultured bacterium. Its description in RNAcentral is "bacterial SSU rRNA". It matches the Rfam family "Bacterial small subunit ribosomal RNA", at positions 355 to 775 of the family's 1533-position model. The record is from RNAcentral.
UAGGGAAUAUUGCACAAUGGGGGAAACCCUGAUGCAGCGACGCCGCGUGAGUGAUGAAGGCCUUCGGGUCGUAAAGCUCUGUCGUAUGGGACUAACAAAAUGAAGGUACCAUGCAAGAAAGGAUCGGCUAACUUCGUGCCAGCAGCCGCGGUAAGACGAGGGAUCCUAGCGUUGUUCGGAAUUAUUGGGCGUAAAGCGGGUGUAGGUGGACUUAUAAGUCAGGUGUGAAAUCCCAGGGCUCAACCCUGGAAGUGCACUUGAUACUGCAAGUCUUGAGUGUGGUAGAGGCUAUUAGAAUUCUUGGUGUAGUGGUGAAAUACGUAGAUAUCAAGAGGAAUACCGGAGGCGAAGGCGGAUAGCUGGGCCAACACUGACACUGAGACCCGAAAGCGUGGGGAUCAAACAG